AGUGAACGCUGGCGGUAGGCCUAACACAUGCAAGUCGAACGGCAGCACAGUAAGAGCUUGCUCUUACGGGUGGCGAGUGGCGGACGGGUGAGGAAUACAUCGGCAUCUACUUUUUCGUGGGGGAUAACGUAGGGAAACUUACGCUAAUACCGCAUACGACCUACGGGUGAAAGCAGGGGAUCUUCGGACCUUGCGCGAUUGAAUGAGCCGGUGUCGGAUUAGCUAGUUGGCGGGGUAAAGGCACACCAGGGCGACGAUCCGUAGCUGGUCUGAGGGGAUGGUCGGCCCCACUGGACCUGGGAACCGGUCCAGCCCCCUCCGGGAGGCGGCAGUGGGGAAUUUCGGACAAUGGGCGCAAGCCUGCUCCAGCCAUACCGCGUGGGUGAAGAAGGCCUUCGGGUGGUAAAGCCCUUUUGUUGGGAAAGAAAAGCGGCAGGUUAAUACCCCGCUGUUCUGCCGUUACCCAAAGAAUAAGCACCGGCUACCUUCGU
This 491-nucleotide ribosomal RNA is filed under the name uncultured bacterium. RNAcentral describes it as "partial 16S ribosomal RNA". It matches the Rfam family "Bacterial small subunit ribosomal RNA", at positions 29 to 506 of the family's 1533-position model. The record is from RNAcentral.